GAGGGUGUGGCUCAGUGGCAGAGCCCAUGCUUAGAAUGCACGGGGUCCUGGUUCAAUUCCCAGUGCCUCCA
RNAcentral lists this transfer RNA (71 nucleotides) under Camelus bactrianus (Bactrian camel). It matches the Rfam family "tRNA". Rfam says of the family: Transfer RNA (tRNA) molecules are approximately 80 nucleotides in length. Their secondary structure includes four short double-helical elements and three loops (D, anti-codon, and T loops). Further hydrogen bonds mediate the characteristic L-shaped molecular structure. tRNAs have two regions of fundamental functional importance: the anti-codon, which is responsible for specific mRNA codon recognition, and the 3' end, to which the tRNAs corresponding amino acid is attached (by aminoacyl-tRNA synthetases). tRNAs cope with the degeneracy of the genetic code in two manners: having more than one tRNA (with a specific anti-codon) for a particular amino acid; and 'wobble' base-pairing, i.e. permitting non-standard base-pairing at the 3rd anti-codon position. The record is from Rfam by way of RNAcentral. Lineage: Eukaryota; Metazoa; Chordata; Mammalia; Artiodactyla; Camelidae. RNAcentral also lists the same sequence under 2 other names.